RNAcentral lists this transfer RNA (77 nucleotides) under Clostridium sardiniense. Its description in RNAcentral is "tRNA-Arg". It matches the Rfam family "tRNA". Rfam says of the family: Transfer RNA (tRNA) molecules are approximately 80 nucleotides in length. Their secondary structure includes four short double-helical elements and three loops (D, anti-codon, and T loops). The record is from RNAcentral. Lineage: Bacteria; Bacillati; Bacillota; Clostridia; Eubacteriales; Clostridiaceae.
GCACCUAUAGCUCAGCUGGAUAGAGCGAUGGACUUCGAAUCCAAAGGUCGCGAGUUCGAAUCUUGCUAGGUGCACCA